Molecule: long non-coding RNA, 4287 nt
Organism: Odontomachus brunneus
Lineage: Eukaryota; Metazoa; Arthropoda; Insecta; Hymenoptera; Formicidae
Exons: 4
Source: RefSeq, a predicted model, not a curated record
CUCUAUUAUCGUAACACAAGAUAAGAUUUGGCAAUUAUACCACUGCGGGCGUUCUAGUUACGAACGGGUGAAAUGUCGACGCGCUUGUUUACUAUGCGAAGUUCGAACUGUCGUGCUGUUAAUGCGCCAAAACAACGUGUCUAUUAUCUGAAUAAGAGACACUCAAAUUUUAAUGUAUUUCUAAUGUAACAUUUUGUUUUUCUCUUCUAUCUCUUAAGGAGAUAGAUGAUGCGACUCCGCAGGAAAUCGAAAAAUUCCAUUUAACUUAUCGCUUAGGUUUCCAACAUUCCAGAGAUGAAAGAUUAACGUCCUUUCUGGAAAGUAUAUCUCCACAUCAAAGAGAAGCUCUGAGCUUGUAUUGGCCUAGAGACUGCAGAUUAAAAAUUGCAGAUUGAAGUUUAGCUUUCGAAGAAUCAACAAACUUCGAUCCUGGCUUGUUUUGUUCUAAGUCGAGUUCCGCACAAGCCGAGAGCCUUCAAUCCGCACAAUCCUCAGUCUCCAAACUAUCUGAUACAAACAUUAGCGAAUUCUAAUUAAACUGGCGAAAUUGCCAGGAGCAAUUGCCAACUAUGUAAUUUGUUAUUCAACAAUAUAUAUAAAUCAAAGAAUUAAUAAUUCUACAUAUCACCAAUAUAGCAGGUAAUAAUUGCUCAGGGUAACAAUUCUCAAGAUAAAUUCCUUAAUGCACAAAUAUCCAGAGGACAUCGUAAUCUCUGAUUAUGAGAAUGUUCUAAGCAUGUUUCUACAUCUUAAGAAUGUUUUCAGAUAAUCCCUAGAAGAUGUUCUAUUAAGGUUAUCAAGGAGUUUAAAGGAGGAGAGAAAAUUUCUUCACAAAUUCUACAUAUUCUAUGUUCUAUUUUAGCAAUUCUGUCGGCCAAAUUAACUGUCGAUCAGCUUUAAUAAGAUAGAAGUGAGGCCUUCAGAUGUGUUCUUAUCGCCGCUUGAAGCGUAUCAUUAGCGCGACAAGAUUGCGUAGAUGGCGAGUACGAUCCUGGCGAAAUCGUGUUAGAGCUGGGGAAGUGCGCGGCGGCGGCGCCCUACGGGCGCCACCGUGCCGCGGACGGCGGUUGGCACGACAGCAACAGCUACAGCAACUCUGAACAGUCGCGAGGAGAUCUCUCCCUGCCCCUUCCUCCUCCGCUUUUCGGAACCGUGCGCGUUCGUGCGACGGAUCGCGAUACUUGGACGGACCCUCCGAGUCGAAGCGAGCCGCGGAGGGUCGGCGCGGCACGGCGUGGCGCGGCGUGGCGCGGCGUGGCGCGAUGCGGCCCCUUGGAAAGGCGCGAAUGUCUAUGCGCGGCGCGUCACCGCGGAAUCUAGAACCUGGCUAGAAUCUGGAAUCUUUUUCUUCGUUCUUGAGCGCACGGAUAGCGGGAUACCACGAGACCACGUUCACGUAUCUUUCUCUGGUACCUCUUAGCGUUGCUCGCGUCACAUCACGGUAAUUAUCAGUAAAUAACUUGAAUACCGCGGUGCAUUGACGCGUCCAAGGGAUACAUUUUUGAGAGACGUCUGAAAAGACAUGUUACUUUCCUCAGAAACCUUUUCACGUCUUUUGAAUGUCCAUAAAACGUCUUUCAGAACUUCGUGUUGUCUCGCUUGCUUUCACGGUAAUUUGCGCGAAGUUGUCUACCUCGUCGGAUAAUAUUCGUCGAUUUGACUUGGCAUCUCGCGUCUUUGGAAUUGCGAUCACGCAAGGAGGCGUCUUAUCGAGUCUGUUUCACAGAAUGUAAGCGCUGCAAAAUUGUUGUCUCCCUUUCUUUUUUUUGUAGAAACAGAUGGAAGCGGACUUUUCGGCGAGAAUCGGAAAAAGCGACAAGUGUUCGCGAUUGAGCUCUACAGGGGUGCGCAUCACGCUGCGCUUUUAAGUAGCAACAUGCGGCGCGCAUGCUGCUAGCGCGUCAUGCGACUCUCGGCUUGACUUGGCACGGCGUGACCUGCUACGACGACGUGAGGGCCGUUCGUGCUUUCCGACAAACGACAACCUUUUCACGCCUGAGUCCCGUGGCGCGAUUCUCAACGGAACGUAUCAUGAAAUCUUCUCGGGCAGCGCGGGAGUCUUCCUUUUGUCGAUUUCGCCACGAGCUUCCAAUCUCAGCGUGAAUGCAAUGACAGAUUGAUUAAAAAAUCUUCCAUAAACAGGAAUAUACCGACGGAUGAAAUAUGUGUUUUGGGGGACGAGCUUUGAAUCAAUCUGACAUAUUGUUUGUGGUUUGCGCUGUUCUUGCGCUGUCGCGUAAGAACUCGUGGACAGAAUAAUGAGGAGCCUCGCAGAUCGACGGUACAUCAUGUAUAACGUCGCUAUUAGCCGUAUGGAACGUCGCGGCGCGACUUUGUGGAAAUUGCCGAUGCGCUGCGCGCUAUUUUCUCUGGAACAGCUCUUUCAGCUUAGCUUCAACUCAACUACUACGUCGUCGAUCUUCAGUACGACGCGGGAUUUAUCCCUGCCCCUCCCGCCACGGCGUCUAGCGUGCAGUUAUAAUGAUUUGCAGAUGCCGGCGAAAGAGACUCGCGAUAAAAGUCGCAAGCGUGCAAAGCGUGAAAGCGCCCGUGAAGACGGCGACGCCGCUUCCUUCGAUGGUCCACGGUGUCUUACGCGCAAUUUCUCGCAAUUAGCCUACUUGAAUGGGCCUCGCCUAUCGUUUAUUAUCAUUAUCCGCGAGCGGCCGGAAAUCGAUUCGAUUGCAUCGACGAUCGUGCAUGAAUUAAACGUUGCGCCAGAGACGCGAGGAGAGAGAGAGAGGAGGGGAACAGAAUUAAUCACUCUGUCCCGUGAUCUAUCGGCCGUUUCGCGGAAAGAUCGCGUCCGCCCGAUAAUGAUCCGCCUGCCUCCGGGUGGCUCGACGAUUGUGCUUUCGAUUAGAGCUUAAUUAUGAAUUAUUAAAGAUCGCCUCAUGGACGAGACAAUCGGCGAGCGCGACGACACCGAGUAACGUCGGCCGAUGAAUAUGCAUCGUCCACUCUGCCAGGGAGUCUCUCUAUUAUACCGCUUGUUGACCGAUGAAUGAUUGCUAAUUGUCGCGGAUAAUUACCGCAAGGCUGCUCGUUAACUGUGUCCGCCGUGUCUGCGAGGCGGCUCCGAAGAAGAAGAGCGACCUCGAGUAAACGACUAGAUGUUGGAUCGCUCGUCGAGGGUUACUUCGAUAUUGUUGGUCCUUGUCUUCUUUCUCCGAGAAACGUGGAAAAAUAAUCUCGCGCGGGUAUUUGGGCUGCUGGAAUAAAUUAGAUCGCGACGUGAAACUGCCGAGACGCGUUUGCAUUCUCCUCCGAUUUUACAAAGGACCGUAAGCGGAUUUCGCGAAAUCGCGGCGGCCAUCUCUUAUUCAUGAACGCCUCGGGUCGGUGAUCAUGUUGGCCCGCUAAAGGAGAGGACAGAGAGAAAGAGAGAGAGAAGGAGAAGAAGACGGCUUUUGAACGGCGUUAACGAAAAACGACGAGCUUCGAACCGGAUUUUGGGAUUAGAAUCAGAUACCCGUUCUCGGGAGCAUCACGAGGCCACGUCCGCUCGUUUUAUGCGGGCGAGGGCGACGGAGAUCUCGCCUCUGCCACGUAUCGUCAAUGCGCGCUGGAGAGCUUCGAGGAACCGGGCGACAAUGGGUAACAAAGAAGAGCGAGAUCGUCCAUGCUCCUCCUACGGCACGAAAUCACGUUCCAUUCGUCUCGCUUGGAAAUAUAUUACUCUGGCCGGGCAACGGACGAACCGCCAAAAAGGAAGACUGCCGUCGGCUUGUUGUGCACCGACGUGACGCGGCGAAACACAAUUACCACGAUCGAAUCUCUCUCUCUCUCCACUUCUCUACUCUUUGGUUGUUAUUUCACCCCCCGUCACGGGCCGAGAAUGUGAUCCUUCGUAGUGUUAUUUCUGAUGAUCCUCUUUGACAUCGGCAUGUAGCGAAUCGUAUUGUCAAAGAAGAGCCUUCGAUGAGCACUUUUUUCCGAGCCAAGAAUUGCAUUUAUAUUGCAUUCUCCAGCGUAAGCUCGAAAAAGUGGACUUUAAUAUAUUGGGGAUUCCCUUGUGCUGGGAUUCUAUAACUCGUUAGUGCAGUUAACGACAGUUUUGUUAUUGUUGCACAGCUUUUCUACGGUAUACAAAAACUGCGCAACGAUGACGGAACUGUCGUUAACUCUAAUAACGAGUUACAGAAUUCCAGUACUGGAAAUUGUUUCGUCAGAAGAAAAUAAUUUUAAAAGGACCGCGAGAAUUCUUCCGGCUUGAGGAAGAGAAAAUAUCCUCCGAAUACGUCUAGAAAAAUCUACAGUAAGAUAUUUUAUCUGAGUUUACGUUGA